This 224-nucleotide ribosomal RNA is filed under the name Clostridioides difficile. Its description in RNAcentral is "partial 16S ribosomal RNA". It matches the Rfam family "Bacterial small subunit ribosomal RNA", at positions 390 to 629 of the family's 1533-position model. The record is from RNAcentral. Lineage: Bacteria; Bacillati; Bacillota; Clostridia; Peptostreptococcales; Peptostreptococcaceae.
AGCAAUUCUGUGUGCACGAUGACGGUCUUAGGAUUGUAAAGUGCUUUCAAUUGGGAAGAAAAAAAUGACGGUACCAAUAGAAGAAGCGACGGCUAAAUACGUGCCAGCAGCCGCGGUAAUACGUAGGCGGCAAGCGUUGUCCGGAAUUAUUGGGCGUAAAGGGAGCGCAGGCGGGAAACUAAGCGGAUCUUAAAAGUGCGGGGCUCAACCCCGUGAUGGGGUCC